Molecule: ribosomal RNA, 200 nt
Filed under: uncultured organism
Description: partial small subunit ribosomal RNA
Rfam family: Bacterial small subunit ribosomal RNA
Source: RNAcentral
CGUCAAAUCAUCAUGCCCCUUAUGACUUGGGCUACACACGUACUACAAUGGCUGGUACAACGGGAAGCGAAGCCGCGAGGUGGAGCCAAUCCUAAAAAGCCAGUCUCAGUUCGGAUUGCAGGCUGCAACUCGCCUGCAUGAAGUCGGAAUUGCUAGUAAUCGCGGAUCAGCAUGCCGCGGUGAAUACGUUCCCGGGUCUU